CCUACGGGAGACAGCAGUGAGGAAUAUUGGUCAAUGGGCGAGAGCCUGAACCAGCCAAGUCGCGUGAAGGAUGACGGCCCUACGGGUUGUAAACUUCUUUUGUCAGGGAGCAAGUGGGUCCACGCGUGGGCUUAGCGAGAGGAACUGAAGAAAAAGCAGCGGCCAACUCCGUGCCAGCAGCCGCGGUAAUACGGCGGAUUCGAGCGUUAUCAGGAUUUAUUGGGUUUAAAGGGUGCGUAGGCGGAAUGUCAAUUCAGAGGUAAAAAUUCGGGGCUCAACCCCGUCGUGCCGUUGAAACUGGUGUUCUUGCGUGGGCGCGCAGUAUGCCGCAUGCGUGGUGUAGCGGUGA
This 349-nucleotide ribosomal RNA is filed under the name uncultured bacterium. RNAcentral's name for it is "partial 16S ribosomal RNA". It matches the Rfam family "Bacterial small subunit ribosomal RNA", at positions 338 to 684 of the family's 1533-position model. The record is from RNAcentral.